Mauremys mutica (yellowpond turtle) is the source of this 556-nucleotide long non-coding RNA. RefSeq lists it as uncharacterized. NCBI's taxonomy places the organism in Eukaryota, Metazoa, Chordata, Testudines, Geoemydidae. The transcript is spliced from 4 exons. The record is from RefSeq and is a predicted model, not a curated record.
GGAAGCAUAGGUAAGAGCUGCCUGAGACUUGGGCAGGAACAGCAAGGAAGAGCUGGCAGAAGUUGCUUAAUAGAGCUUCAGGAAACCCAGUGGAGAGACCUGAGCUCAGAUGGGAGCGUAACAGGACUACUGGCUUACAAAUAACAUCAAAAGAAUAGCAACAUCAUCCAAAUCAUUCUGUGACUAAUUUAUAAUGAAGAGGAGGACAUCAACUUGACUUUAAGUUUUGAACUAGUAAACUGAGGAAGUCAGUCUCAAAUCCAACUGGAGUGGUUACAAAACUCAGUCACACUUACCAUUCACCAAACUGUACAGCUUUCAGCACUCCUACAGCAGCUGUACUCUGCCAAUCAAACCCCUGACCUACAUGAUCAGCAUGGGCUCUUGUUCGAUCUUCAAAGAGAACUUCACGGGGCUCACUGGUCCGAGGAAAAUAAAGUUACCGGCGCCGUUUGAAUGGUGAUUUUGGCAUAUCUGCUGUCGGGAUCAUCUGUUCUCCUGGUCUCACCCACAUUAUGGGGCCAUCAUCACUUUGUGACCUGCACUGAAGCUGGAG